Oreochromis aureus is the source of this 902-nucleotide long non-coding RNA. The record is from Ensembl. NCBI's taxonomy places the organism in Eukaryota, Metazoa, Chordata, Actinopteri, Cichliformes, Cichlidae.
AUGAGCUGGCCAGAAACCAGGCCUGUCCUGACCGUGGCACGCUCUCAGAGCCUCUGAUGUCACUGAUUCCAGUCUUGGGCCCAGCACCAGCACUGAGUCUGUGGAAAAGAUCUAAGAGCAUACUCAGGUACUAACUCUGAGUUGGUUCACUCAAUGAAAUUUCAGUUUAGGCUCAUUUUCAGUGAGCUUAGAUUCUGCUCUGGGUUGGAUGGAUUUCUGGUGUGUUUAAAUUGUUGUCUGGCUGUGCAGCAAUUCAUGCAGAUUCGAGAUCAGAUUAUGAACGCCUCAGGUUGAAACGCUGAGCUGGCUCCUUCCUCUUGCCCUGGAUGGAGUUCCUCCAUUUGAGCAGUCCUUCCCACUCCCGCCUUUUACCUGGAAAUAAUAUGUGUGGAGUGUGUCAGGCCGGAGGUUCCAACAGUUCUUUCCCAGAUUGUUGUCGCUGCGAUGUUACCAGCUCUGAACCUCCUCACACAUCUUACCUGGAAACCUGCUCACUUGUUGCCUCCAGAAACCCCCAGAACUACUCACCAGCCCCAUGUAAUCUGUCAAAGGAAGGACUUACCCGCUCACCUGCCUGCCCGCUCUUCAAGCGCUUUCUCCGCCACCUGUCUGAUACUCGCCAGCUACCUUCACACUCCCUCUGAGCCUCCCCUCACUUCCAACGCAACCAAGACCUCUGGUUCACUCUCAUUAUUCUCAUCAUCCUCUUGGGUUCCUGUUAAUCUCUUGUCUCCUGUCUAACAGAGCUUCCGUGUACCAGUCUAAAGUGUCUCCGAAUUUCUCCACCAACUGUCUGAACCCAUUAACAAUUCAUUCUUUCACAGUAAACAGUACGAACCUUUCUGCUGUUGUCUGAGUCUGCUCUUUGGGCCCGCUUUUUGCCAUAAUACGACAUUGUCGCU